This 460-nucleotide ribosomal RNA is filed under the name uncultured bacterium. RNAcentral's name for it is "partial 16S ribosomal RNA". It matches the Rfam family "Bacterial small subunit ribosomal RNA", at positions 338 to 795 of the family's 1533-position model. The record is from RNAcentral.
CCUACGUGUGGCAGCAGUGAGGAAUAUUGGUCAAUGGGCGCGAGCCUGAACCAGCCAAGUCGCGUGAGGGAGGACGGCCCUACGGGUUGUAAACCUCUUCUGCCGGGGAGCAACGGGCGUCACGUGUGGCGCCACUGAGAGUACCCGGAGAACAAGCAUCGGCUAACUCAGGCCGAGCAGCCGGGGUAAUACGGAGGAUGCGUGCGUUAUCGGGUUGUAUUGGGUUUAAAUGGUGCGUAGUCGGAUCGUAAAGUGAGUGGUAAAAUUGAGGGGCUAAACCCCAUCCUGCCAUUGAAACUGGCGUUCUUGAGUGGAAGAGAGGUAUGCGGAAUGCGUGGUGUAGCGGUGAAAUGCAUAGAUAUCACGCAGAACCCCGAUUGCGAAGGCAGCAUGCCGGCUUCCGACUGACGCUGAAGCACGAAAGCGUGGGGAUCGAACAGGAUUAGAUACCCCUGUAGUC